Non-coding RNA from Galeopterus variegatus (Sunda flying lemur), 417 nucleotides. The record is from the annotation of a RefSeq genome assembly. Lineage: Eukaryota; Metazoa; Chordata; Mammalia; Dermoptera; Cynocephalidae.
AUGAGAACCACAUCAGAGGAGCAAAACAUAAGAUUGUGGGGUCUUCUCCUUUGCCUGGUGACAAGUUUCCUUGUCCCAGGUGUCCUGUCUCAGGUGGAGCUGGUGGAGCUGCAGGAGUUGGGCCCAGGACUGGUGAAGCCCUCGCGGACCCUGUCCCUCACCUGCACAGUCUCUGGUGACUCCAUCACCAGUGGUUAUGAUUGGAAAUGGAUCCACAAGCACUCAGGGAAGGGGUGUGAGUUAAUGGGAUACAUUAGUUCUGCUGACAGCACAAGUUAUGUCCCAUCCCUCAAGAGCCUCAUCUCCAUCAUCAGAGAUAUGUCCAAGCUGCAUUUCUCCCUGCAGCUGAGCUCUGUGACCUCCAAGGACAUGACUACAUAUUACUGUGCGAGGGACAGUGAGGGGAAGUCGGUGUGA